UACGGAAGGCAGCAGUGGGGAAUAUUGCACAAUGGGCGCAAGCCUGAUGCAGCCAUGCCGCGUGUAUGAAGAAGGCCUUCGGGUUGUAAAGUACUUUCAGUCGUGAGGAAGGUGUUAAGGUUAAUAACCUUAGCAAUUGACGUUAGCGACAGAAGAAGCACCGGCUAACUCCGUGCCAGCAGCCGCGGUAAUACGGAGGGUUGCGAGCGUUAAUCGGAAUUACUGGGCGUAAAGGGCACGCAGGCGGUUAAUUAAGUUGGAUGUGAAAUCCCCGGGCUUAACCUGGGAAUGGCAUUCAAGACUGGUUAGCUAGAGUCUUGUAGAGGGGGUUAGAAUUCCAUGUGUAGCGGUGAAAUGCGUAGAGAUGUGGAGGAAUACCGGUGGCGAAGGCGGCCCCUGGGACAAAGACUGACGCUCAUGUGCGAAAGCGUGGGGAGCAAACAGGAUUAGAUACC
RNAcentral lists this ribosomal RNA (455 nucleotides) under uncultured bacterium. Its description in RNAcentral is "bacterial SSU rRNA". It matches the Rfam family "Bacterial small subunit ribosomal RNA", at positions 340 to 786 of the family's 1533-position model. The record is from RNAcentral.